UUUUCCAUUGUGGCACUGGAACUGUGGAUCAGACUUUAUGAAACUGGUUGGGGAUGUGUACAGGAGACGGCCGCCAAGGAAGCAAGCCCGGUAAGCGUACGCCAGACCCCUGCAUGGUAUAAAGGUUUACACAGCUGUAUUUGUGGCGCAUGCAACAAGGAUUUUCGUUGAAGCGCUGAGAGGGUAAUGCAGGGCGGCGACACCAGCAGCAGCAACGAUGGGCUAGCGGAGGGGGCAAGUCCACCACAUCACGGCGCAGGAGAGUCCAGUUCAGUUGGAGAGCAGCUGGACGCGGGACGGCGCAACGAGCCCCUAGCAGGCACGAUAGCACCGAACCGUAAGUGUUUUACAAGUAUUGGCCGAGACCCUUAUUCCCCUACACCUAUUAGUAACUGACCGUAAUAACAACACAGGAGCAGUGGUUCAUUCACCCAGGUUUUGCUUCCUGCUGACCUGGCCCUCAGGGUGUAGCGAAGAGGUUCCAAGUCCAGCAACUGACACGCAGCCUCACACUCAGGACGGGCCGCCUGCCUCGGUUGCCCUGCCAAAUAAUCGGAGGGUCUCUGCCAGCGUAGCAGCUCGUCAGCGGCUCGCAACGUACAGCGCUGCGCACAUGACCGCGGCAAUGGCCGGCUUCAAAAUAACCGAGCUGCCACGCGUCCCGAACCCAGCACCUGUGAACGCAGCGGGCAGCAGCUCAACCAGCUUCAAGGCCAGGUGCGCCAUUUGAUCUCCCGGGUCAGGGUCCUUUAAAAAAAAGGGAUACGGUGGUGGUUCUUCAGUUCGAGGACCCGCCAUGAAGCGUGAGAUACACUUCCAUGUGCUUUGGCUCCCCGCAGGGUCCUGCAGGCAACCAAUCUAAACCGUGUGGCCAAGGCGUACAAAGGCAGACCUUUGCCGCUUGUCGUCUCCGUCGAUGACGAGCCCGGGAUGGCGCGCAUCGCACAGAAGGUACGUCGACAUGAUUGCAUAUUGG
This 976-nucleotide long non-coding RNA is filed under the name Volvox carteri. RNAcentral's name for it is "long non-coding RNA (VCAR_LNC003288)". Lineage: Eukaryota; Viridiplantae; Chlorophyta; Chlorophyceae; Chlamydomonadales; Volvocaceae. The record is from RNAcentral.